Molecule: ribosomal RNA, 429 nt
Filed under: Chloroflexota bacterium
Lineage: Bacteria; Bacillati; Chloroflexota
Description: Chloroflexi bacterium partial 16S ribosomal RNA
Rfam family: Bacterial small subunit ribosomal RNA
Source: RNAcentral
UGGGGAAUAUUGCACAAUGGGCGCAAGCCUGAUGCAGCCAUGCCGCGUGUGUGAAGAAGGCCUUCGGGUUGUAAAGCACUUUCAGCGGGGAGGAAGGCGUUAAGGUUAAUAACCUUGGCGAUUGACGUUACCCGCAGAAGAAGCACCGGCUAACUCCGUGCCAGCAGCCGCGGUAAUACGGAGGGUGCAAGCGUUAAUCGGAAUUACUGGGCGUAAAGCGCACGCAGGCGGUCUGUCAAGUCGGAUGUGAAAUCCCCGGGCUCAACCUGGGAACUGCAUUCGAAACUGGCAGGCUAGAGUCUUGUAGAGGGGGGUAGCAUUCCAGGUGUAGCGGUGAAAUGCGUAGAGAUCUGGAGGAAUACCGGUGGCGAAGGCGGCCCCCUGGACAAAGACUGACGCUCAGGUGCGAAAGCGUGGGGAGCAAACAGG